This 513-nucleotide ribosomal RNA is filed under the name uncultured bacterium. RNAcentral describes it as "partial 16S ribosomal RNA". It matches the Rfam family "Bacterial small subunit ribosomal RNA", at positions 28 to 523 of the family's 1533-position model. The record is from RNAcentral.
GACGAACGCUGGCGGCAUGCCUAAUACAUGCAAGUCGAGCGAACAGAUGAAGUGCUUGCACUUCUGACGUUAGCGGCGAACGGGUGAGUAACACGUAAGGAAUCUACCUAUAAGCGGGGGAUAACAUUCGGAAACGGGUGCUAAUACCGCAUAAUAUCUUCUACCGCAUGGAAGAAGAUUGAAAGACGGCUCUGCUGUCACUUAUAGAUGACCUUGCGGUGCAUUGGUUAGUUGGUGGGGUAAUGGCCUACCAAGACGAUGAUGCAUAGCCGACCCGAGAGGGUGAUAGGCCACAUUGGGACUGAGACACGGCCCAAACUCCUACGGGAGGCAGCAGUAGGGGAUCUUCCGCAAUGGGCGAAAGCCUGACGGAGCAAUGCCGCGUGAGUGAAGAAGACCUUCGGGUCGUAAAACUCUGUUAUAAGAGAAGAACAAAUUGUAGAGUAACUGCUACAGUCUUGACGGUAUCUUAUCAGAAAGCCACGGCUAACUACGUGCCAGCCGCCGCCGUAA